This is a non-coding RNA of Callithrix jacchus (white-tufted-ear marmoset), 8515 nucleotides long. Lineage: Eukaryota; Metazoa; Chordata; Mammalia; Primates; Cebidae. The record is from RefSeq and is a predicted model, not a curated record.
CCCUUUACCAACCGGGACCCUGCUACAUCACGCACGAUCCUGGCUCUGCCUCCCUGGAUCUGUACCCUGCGGGGCUUCGGGGUCAAGCUGCACCGGAGGGAAAGGGGGCUGUGGUGGGUUCCCAUGGGUCCCAGGGCCCAGACUCUAGGGUCUGAAGCUGAAUUAAGCCUUGAAGGGACCUCCUGCCAGCCCUGGCCUCAUCCUGGGUGAGACUCCCCCCAGCCUGGCCCCGGCUGCUGCUCACAGACCCUACCAGCCUGUACACCUGCCCGGGAAGGGGGCUUUCUACCCUGGAGGUCCCGGGAGGGAGGUGGGGGCUGGAGUCCCGGCGGUCCCCACAAGGACUCUUCCCAGAGUGUCGGCAGCCUCGAAGUCCCGAGACGCCACGGGGACCCAGGUUCCUGAGCUACAAGUGCGCAUGCAUGCAAGGAGGUGCGACAAGCCACACCGGUUCCGAGGCAGUGUGCAAGAGCUGGCCACGCACAGGCCCCGGGCCAGCCACGUGGGUCCAGGCCCAGGGAGACCAGGCCACGGCUUGGGAACAUCAGCCUCCGGUGGACAAGCCACAUCCAUGCUUAGCUACAACCAAAGUAACAUCAGGGGCCCGUGCAGCCUCCACAGUGGACCAGGCUCAGCCAAACCAGAAAGGCCCCUCCGAGGUGGGGGUGCAUUUAUGUUGGAGCCUAAAGGAGAGUGGCCAAGAACAUUCCAGAGGGUGAUGCACAGCCCGAGGCAGGAAGGGGCUCUGCACGAGAACAAAGUGAAGCCCCUGUGAGCAAUGGAGACAGAAGGUAGCCGAGAAACAGCGCCCGUUCCACCAGAGCCAGCAAACCACAGCCCGAGGCCACGCGCAGGCUGCCGGUCCGUAGCUACACUGGUUCUUUUUUUAGACAGGGUCUUGCUCUGUUGCCCAGGCUGUAAUGCCAUGACACAUCACAGAUCACCACAGCUUCGACCUCCUGCGCUCAAGUGUGGUGGCACACACCUGUGGUCCCAGCUACUUGGGAGGCUGAGGCGGGAGGAUCACUUGAGGCUGGGAGUUUGAGGCGGCAGUCAGCUGUGAUCAUGCCACUGCACUCCAGCCUGGGUGACACAGGUGACACAGCGAGACUCUGUCUCAAAAAUUUAAAAAAGUAAAAAAAAAAACACCUAGAGUUCAUCACCUUGACCACAUUGAAGUAGGCAGUUCUGGCUGAGCAUGGUGGCUCAGGCCUGUAAUCCCAGCACUGUGGGAGGCCAAGGCGGGUGGAUCACCUCAAGUUGGGAGUUCAAGACCAGCCUGACCAACAUGGAGAAAUCUUCUCUCUACUAAAAAUACAAAAAAUUAGCCAGGUGCACAUGCCUAUAAUCCCAGCUACUCAGGAAGCUGAGGCAGGAGAAUCGCUUGAACCUGGGAGGUGGAGGUUGCAGUGAGCCAAGAUCAUGCCACUGCACUCCAGCCUGGGCGACAGAGUGGGACUCCGUCUCAAAAAAAAAAAAAAAAAAAAAAGCAUACAGUUCAGUGGCGUUUAGCACAUUCCCAUGGCCGCGCAGCCGCCACCAUGACCGUCUCUAGAGCCCUCUGACCCUCCCACUCACUCCCCAUCCCUCUCCCCAGCCCCUGGUGACUUCUCUGGCAGGAAGUUCCUCAAAGGUUAAAAACAGUUGCUGUCAGUGAGGAAAGCUUUGCCCAGUUCUGCUCCUGAUGUUAAGUGACAGCACAGUUAUGGCAAAGUAAGGAAACCCAGUGACCACGUGACCCAGCACUUCCCACAUACGCACCCAGGGAAGGGAGAGACGCAGACCCCCAAUUCACAUCGGCCAAGACAGCAAAAUCCUGUGUGCCCAUCGACAAGUGAGGCACGAACCAGUGCAACCCUCCACACGCCGGAACAUGAUUCAGCCAUGAAAAGGAGCGAGGCUCUGACCCAGGCCACAGCGUGAACACGCCCAGAGGACGUCAUACCCCAUGAGAGAUGCCAGGCACAAAGGGCCACGUGAGGGUCUGGGAGGGCCCUGGAGGAGGCCGACUCACAGAGACCCGCCUUUCUAGGAAACAAGACACCCGAGGCAUGCACUUGCUUGAGUCAGCAGGUGGGGACAGACCUACGAGGGUCUGCGGCCACUCCUGUCAUCCCAGGCACCACCCUGUCCUGAGAUACCGAGGCGGUCAGCCUGAUCCACCUCCACAGCCCCAGGCGGCCUCUGACCAGCUCCUGGCCUGGAGUUGGAGAUAAGGUCUACCACAUGGCUGCUGCUUCGGCAAGAGCCCACAGGCCGUGCUGCCUGGGCCUGCAGUCACAGGACACAAGGGGUCCCUGGCUCAGCCGCAUGGAGCCAGUCAGGCUCUGAGGACAGGAGCAUGCAGCCCGAAGUCCCGUGUUAGUGGGUUUUCGCGGCUUAUCUCAUGUCCCCUCUGCAAGGCCUCAUGCCAGCCCCACUGCCUGUGCAGAUGAGGACACGAAGGCAGAGUACGGGGCAGCAAUGCCCACGGCCACACAGAAGGCCCAGGGUCCUCUAUGUGGCUCAGCCCGCUGCACAGGGUAGUCCAGGUGGCCACAGAGCAGCAGAGAACUGGCGGUUCUCCCUCCUUCCAGCCUGCCGCUCCCAGGGCCAGGUCACAUCACCAGCUUCCUUCCACCCCCUUCUCCCCUGCCCAGGGCCGGCCUCUCCCCACCCACAGUCCCCACCAGUUCUCCACAGGGCACAGCCACCUCCCGCAGCCCCACCACAGCUAACCACUCCUGAGGCAGCACUGACCAUCCCAGGACAAGGAGAGGCCUCAGCAUCUGUCCCCAGUACAGACAGCCUCUGGCGAACAAUUUCCCGAGCCUGGAGCCAGAGGGGCCAUAGAGACUCGAGCCCCAGGAGAGCUGUGGGUGUGGGCCGCCCAGGACUGCUUCACAGAUGAAGGGGGAAUCUAUGCAGACCCUGAGCCCCAAGAGAGCUGUGGCCCCCCACCCGGGACCAAUUUGUAGAUGAAGGGACUCUACACAGAUCCACCAGCACUUAUAGAAAGGAAACCUUGCAGCAGAGGCCAAUGGCAAUGGCAGAACUGUAGCAUGGAAAACCCACGCUGGGGGCAGGGGCUCCUGAGGGGGCCCCAUCAGAACCGCAGUGCUGGUCCAGGCCAUGCAGGGUUGCUGUUGCAGAGGACAUCAGCCAUGUCCAUGGCUGGGAAGGACAGCUGGACACAUCUUCACAAGACAACAGCACCCAGACAGUAGCCUGGACCCCUUAGCACAACAAAAACCAGGCAGGACCCAAACACAGCUGCAGUGCCGGGGCGAGGGAGCCGCGCUAAGGCUCCAGGAGUCCCGGAGCCAAGCGGGGAGGAAGUCAUUCAAGUCCAGCAAACACGAGGCCAGAGGGAGGCCAGCUCUCCCUCAGGGUAGAUCUGUCACCUACCCACUGGAGUGAGCUCCCUACCCAAGGGGGCAGUGUGGGAUGAAAUCAAGCUGGGGGAGCAGCAUUCUGGGCAGCGGCAUGUGCUACCUGGAAGCACUUUUUUUGGAGACAGGGUCUCUUGCUCUGUCGCCCAGGCUCGAGUGAGGUAGCUUCAUCACAGCUCCCUGCAGCCUCCCGCUCCUGGGUUCAAGCUAUCCUCCCUCCUCAGCCUCCUGAGUAGCUAGGACCAGAGACACGUACCACCAUGCUGAGCUAAAGGAAGCACGUCUGUAAAAGAGGCCCCCAAUGACCAGCUGCCAAGUAAAAGCAAAAUGGACACCGGCGCCAGCAGACUCCAUUCCCCCGCACAGAACAGUCUCCCCAAGACCUGGCACCCCGCAGAGGGAACCGUGGGCAUGGGAGCACAGGCACAGGCGGAACAGCUCCAGGACUGUGUUCCAUGCCAGCACCACCCUGCUCCAGAUGUGACUGGGGGUGAGGCCCAGCCCUUCCCGGGUCCUAGUGGAGCCUCUCCUGCUUCUGUACCAUCAGCAGCCUUGGCCAGGCCUUCUCCAAGAAUGGAAAAACCUCAUCAUCAAGUCUUACUCAUUACAGAAUUUAGUUUCAAGGCACGGCAGGAGAAUACCAGCUCGAGACCCGCCAACAUGAAGAGAUCCUGUCUCUCCGAAAACACAGAGGCACUGUGGGGACACUGAGGCAGGCAGAUAAUCUGAGCUCAGGAGAUCGAGACCAGCCAACAUGAAGAGAUCUUGUCUCUCCGAAAACACAGAGGCACUGUGGGGACACUGAGGCGGGCAGAUAAUCUGAGCUCAGGAGAUCGAGACCAGCCAACAUGAAGAGAUCUUGUCUCUCCGAAAACACAGAGGCACUGUGGGGACACUGAGGCGGGCAGAUAAUCUGAGCUCAGGAGAUCGAGACCAGCCAACAUGAAGAGAUCUUGUCUCUCCGAAAACACAGAGGCACUGUGGGGACACUGAGGCGGGCAGAUAAUCUGAGCUCAGGAGUUCGAGACCAGCCUGGCCAACAUGGUUAAACCCUGUCUCCACUAAAAAAUAAAAAUUAGCUGGCAUGGUGGCACAUGCUUGUAAUCCCGGCUACUCAGGAGGCUGAGGCAGGUGAAUCACUUGAACCCAGAAGGUGGAGGUUGCAGUGAGCUGAGAUCGCACCACUGCACUCCAGCCUGGGCAAGAGAGAGAGACUCCGUCUCAAAAACAAAAACAAAAGACAGCUGGGUGCGGCGGUACACAUCUGUAGUCCCAGGACUCAGGAGGCUGAGGUGGAGGCCGCAGUGGGCGGAGAUCACGCCACUGCACUCCAGCCUGGGCAGCAGAGCAAGACACUGUCUUAGGGGCAAAAAAAUAAUAAUAAUAGGGCCGGGCGCGGUGGCUCACGCCUGUAAUCCCAGCACUUUGGGAAGCCGAGGCGGGUGGAUCACGAGGUCAACAGAUCGAGACCAUCUUGGUCAACAUGGUGAAACCCCGUCUCUACUAAAAUUACAAAAAAAUUAGCUGGGCACAGUGGCGCAUGCCUGUAGUCCCAGCUACUCAGGAGGCUGAGGCAGGAGAAUCGCCUGAACCCAGGAGGCGGAGGUUGCUGUGAGCCGAGAUCGCGCCAUUGCACUCCAGCCUGGGCAACGAGAGCGAAACUCCGUCUCAAAAAAAGAAAAAGAAAAAAAAAAAAGACGGGGUUUCACCAUGUUGGUCAGGCUGGUCUUGAACUCCCGACCUCAGGUGAUCCACCCACCUUGGCCUUCAAAGUGUUUGGAUUGCAGGCGUGAGCCACCACGCCCGAAUGGAACUUUUAUCUUUCUUUUUUUUUUUUUUUUUUGAGACAGAGUCUCACUCCGUCACCCAGGGGUAUGGGGUGCUGAGGCAUGGAGUGCAGUAGUGCGACCUCGGAUCACUGCAAUCUCUGCCUCUCAGGUUCAAGUGAUUCCCCUGCCUCAGCCUCCCGCAUAGCUAGGACUACAAGCACAAACCACCAAGCCAAGCUAAUUUUUUGUAUUUAGUAGAGACAGGAUUUCACCAUGUUGGAGCGGAUGGUCUCGCUCUCCUGACCACGUGAUCCACCCAUCUCGGCCUCCCACAGUGCUGGGAUUAUAGGCGUGAGCCACCUCGCCUGGCUGGAAUUUUUAUCUAAAAUUGAUUGAUUGAUUGAUUGAGACGGAGUCUUACUCUUUUUGCCCAGGCUGCAGUCCAGUGGCCUGAUCUCAGCUCACUGCAACCUCCACCUCCUGGGUUCAAGUGAUUCUCCUGCCUCAUCCUCUUGAGUAGUCGGGAUACAGGUCCCCACUACCACGUCCAGCUAACUUUUUAUAUUUUUAGGAGAGACAGGGUUUCAUCAUGUUGGUUAGAGAACUCCUGACCUCAGGUGAUCCACCUGCCUCAGCUUCCCAAAGUGCUAUAUUACAGGCCUGAGCCAGCACUCCUGGCCAGAAUUUUUUUUUUGAGACAGGGUCUCACUCUGUCACCUAGGGCUGAAGGGCGGUGGUCCAAUUAUGGCUCACUGCAGCCUUUGCCUCCUAGGCUCAAGUGAUCCUCCCACCUCAGCCUUGGGAGGAGCUAGGACCACAGGUGCACUUCCCAGACCCAGCCAAUUUUUGUAUAUUUUAUAGAGACGGGGUCCUCCCAUGUUGCCCAGGCUGGUCUUGAACUUCUGGGCUCAAACAAUCUGCCCGCCUCGGCCUCCCACAGUGCUGGGUUACAGGUGUGAGCCACCGUACCCAGCCAGCAUUUUUCCAGAAUGAGAGAAUGUAAACAAGUAGGACCAGCAGCAGUGGCGGUAGCCACGUGCACUGAAGCACGUGCUGGCAGACUCCGCCUGUGAUUAGAUAAAUAUCAUCCCCCACUUCCCCAGAAUACUGAUGCCACCCUGAAGUCAACACUGAGAGCCAGUACACUCGGCACCAGCCCCAGUUGCAGACGGCCCCUGGCACACAUCGCUGCCCAGCAGCACAUGGACACACCUGACAAGCCCUCCUCAUCAAGAGAGACGCUGUGAGCCAACGGCCCAAACGCCAGCAGGCGGCAGCAGCCACAGUCAACUGGCCACACAGCUCACUCACACUGCCCAAGGCUGGUGGGCAAAACCACAGGGCCCAGGCCUGCCCAGCAGCCUGAGACCCGGCUCCUGUCUGUCCCUGCAGUGAGGGCAGGGACGCACACGGCGGGUGUGCAGACUGUCUUUCCACCUCCAAGAUCUGGAGGGACACAAGUCCAUGUCCCAGGAGCCGUAGUGACAUGGCUGCUGAACUCAAUGCGGGAAAAUCAGAAGUCUGCAGGGCAAACACACCACCACCACAGCCGGAAAGAAAAUGACAAACUGGGAGCAGCACGUGCCACCCACAGGAGAGCCCAAAGUAGCAAAGGACACCAACAAACCGUGCUGGGAAAGGACCAGCUUCCCCUUGCAGUCAGGAGCUGCCAGUCCAACCAGGACACUGCCCUCCUGCCUGUCAGACGGGGGAUGCGGCGGACUGGAGGACUCGGCCUCGCCAGCCCAGGCACGGGGAAAGAGAGCCACGUGUGCUCACGGUUGGCAGAAACUGCAACUGUUAAGGCUUCAAAGAAAGGCAAUUUAGCAACUGCUUCCAAAAUUUUAAAAAUGCACAUCCUCUGUGAUGCGGUAUUUCUACUUCUAAGAAUUUAUCCUUAGAAACUCUGGGUGCGUGUGUGCAGAGAUGAAGCACUGCAGCAGCUCGUCAGGGCGGAAGACAAAAGAGGCCCCCAGACGGGGGGUGGACAGGCUGCGAGACCCACUGCACGGAAAACCAGCCCAUGCAGAGCAUGCUGCUCCCAGAGGGUUCGAGAAGCGGCUAGUCACAGUCAGGUUUAGGGAGAGGAAGGAGAGGAUGGGGGCUAGGGAGGAAGGAAGCCUCAUUUUUCCUUACUUCUCCUGGCACCUCAAUUUGUACUUCUUGAAUUCUGUGUCAGAUGAACUGUGAGCUCUUCAAAAAAAAUAAAGCAGAAGGCAGAGAUGGGCCAGGUGGGCUCUGGAUGAGACCGGGCACCACCACAUUCUCACUCCUUGGCUGGACGCUCAGAAGGUUUCAUUGUAAACUGUCAGAGGAAGAGAAAUCGGGAUCUGAAGUUGCUGUUAAGGAAUUCCUGAGCAUGGACACCAUGUGUGGCCGUGUGGAAAGGCUUCAAGUGGAUCAAGGGGGUUCAGCACCAACUUGGAGCCUCACCACGAAUUAGGAGUGAAUCAGUGAAUGACUCGUGCUCUGCUGGGCCCUGCAGAGGUUCUCGUCCAUGGCCCAGGGUUGCCUGGUGGGGACACUGCUGUGGCUCUGCCUGUGUGACCGACACCUGUAGCCUGGCUUCCCUGGUCUGCAUGGUGACCCGGGCCCUGGACUGCUGGGCUUCCUGCUGCCCCUUCCCCUCGGCAGGGCACUGCCCUGUGGGUCCUGCACACCUACCGGGCCAGCUCAUGAGAAAGGUGCACCUCUCACCCCCAGGCCCCAGAAUGAAGAGCCAGGAGGCCCCUGCUGCCACUGUCCCGGGCUCUUUAACGGACAAAAGGAAUGGAAACAUCCCAAUGCCAGCUCUUUUAGGACUCAGGUGUUGAGGCUGACUAUGGUCUGGACACACCACCUAUGAGAUGAUAUACACCAGGGCGCGCCGCCAACCCUGGCCCUGUGGACACUGGAGCAGGACAGCCCAGGAAUCCAGCAGCGUGGCUGUGUGCACUGGUUCACACUCAGUGCUUUGGAAGGCCAGGCCAGGAGGAUCACAUGAGCCCAGGAGUUCAAGACCAGCCUGGGCACAGUGGCUCACACCUGUAAUUCCAGCACUUUGGGAGGCCGAGAUGGGCAGAUCACAAGGUCAAGAGAUCGAGACCAUCCUAGCCAACAUGGUGAAACCCCAUCUCUAUUAAAAAUACAAAAGUUAGCUGUGCGUGGCAGCACGCGUGUGUAGUCCCAGCUGCUCAGGAGACUGAGGCCGGAGAGUCACUUGAAGCUGGGAGGCGGAGGCUGUAGUGAGCCAGGACUGUGCCACCUCACUCCAAUCUAGCAGAGUGAGGCUAGGUGGGCGGAUCACUUGAGUCUGGAAGGUUGAGGCUGCAGGGAGUCGUGACUGUGCCACGGCACUCCAGCCUGGGCAACAAAGUGAGAGGAAAGACAGACAGA